This 487-nucleotide ribosomal RNA is filed under the name uncultured bacterium. Its description in RNAcentral is "partial 16S ribosomal RNA". It matches the Rfam family "Bacterial small subunit ribosomal RNA", at positions 28 to 523 of the family's 1533-position model. The record is from RNAcentral.
GAUGAACGCUGGCGGCGUGCUUAACACAUGCAAGUCGAACGGUGAAGGUGGGAGCUUGCUCCUGCUGGAUCAGUGGCGAACGGGUGAGUAACACGUGAGUAACCUGCCCCGGACUCUGGGAUAAGCGUUGGAAACGACGUCUAAUACCGGAUACGAGACGAGAAGGCAUCUUCAUCGUCUGGAUAGAUUUUUUGGUCUGGGAUGGAAUCGCGGCCUAUCAGGUUGGUGGUGAGGUAAUGGCUCACCAAGCCUACGACGGGUAGCCGGCCUGAGAGGGUGACCGGCCACACUGGGACUGAGACACGGCCCAGACUCCUACGGGAGGCAGCAGUGGGGAAUAUUGCACAAUGGGCGAAAGCCUGAUGCAGCAACGCCGCGUGAGGGACGACGGCCUUCGGGUUGUAAACCUCUUUUAGUAGGGAAGAAGCGAAAGUGACGGUACCUGCAGAAAAAGCACCGGCUAACUACGUGCCAGCCGCCGCCGUAA